Non-coding RNA from Pseudophryne corroboree (corroboree frog), 74 nucleotides. NCBI's taxonomy places the organism in Eukaryota, Metazoa, Chordata, Amphibia, Anura, Myobatrachidae. The record is from the annotation of a RefSeq genome assembly.
GUCUCUGUGGCGUAGUUGGUAAGUGCAUUCAACUGCUAACUGAAAGGUUGGUGGUUCAAACCCACCCAGGGACA